Molecule: long non-coding RNA, 532 nt
Filed under: Olea europaea (common olive)
Lineage: Eukaryota; Viridiplantae; Streptophyta; Magnoliopsida; Lamiales; Oleaceae
Description: long non-coding RNA (OEUR_LNC005455)
Source: RNAcentral
AAUAUUCCGAUUCAUAUAUCUCUUUUUCUUUCAGAUGUUAGAUGGAGGAGAACUUAAUGUGAGAGUAAACUUCAGGGCUGGCUCUUGCCUUUCUGGAGCUGCUCGUUGAAAAUCAUCUUUGUGAUUCUCAAAGAACCAAGGGACACAAUAGAUCCUUUUUUUACUCUCUCUUUAGUCCUUUAUCACCCUGGAAGUGUUCCCCUUCAGGAAGGGGAUUCUGGUACAGGGAAUUCCUUAACCAUCUUACAAGGCCAAAAGAUGUGGAUAAAGCCAUCUGGGGCUAAGAACGCCGAAGAAAUACCAAGAAAUAAGUUGAAUCUGAGUCAUGUUAUUCCCCUUUCUAUAUUUUUAGCCAUACAAAUUACAUAUUGUGAUAGAGACUCCUUUUUUACUUUCAUUAAUUUGGAAUAUAGUUUCUUUUGUUGGUUCUUUGUUCCCAUUAUAUCCAGUUGAGUAUGGUUAAAUUCUUCAACGCGUAAAGUGAUUUUAAUGGUUGGUAGGUAGUGCUAUAUUUCUUGUUAGCCUUUCAAAU